GCCUAGUCAAGAUGAAGCCAGAGGAAACUCUGGUGGAUGUCUGAAGUUAUUCUGACGUGCAAAUCGAUAAUCUGAUCUGGGUAUAGGGGCGAAAGACUAAUCGAACCAUCUAGUAGCUGGUUCCUUCCGAAGUUUCCCUCAGGAUAGCUAGCGUACACGUUUAGUUUCAUCCCGUAAAGCGAAUGAUUAGAGGUAUUGGGGCGUAUAUAGCCUCAACCUAUUCUCAAACUUUUAAUGGGUGUGAGUGUUCUUUCUCGAUUGAAGAACACUGCUAAAUAAGUAUGCUUAGUGGGCCAUUUUUGGUAAGCAGAACUGGCGCUGUGGGUUGAACCAAUUGUUGGGUUAAAGUGCCUAAAGCUGGAAUGCGCAUGAGAUCUAUAAAGGGUGUUAGUUGCUGAAGACAGCAGGACGGUGGCCAUGGAAGUCGAAC
This 430-nucleotide ribosomal RNA is filed under the name Varroa jacobsoni. Its description in RNAcentral is "eukaryotic LSU rRNA". It matches the Rfam family "Eukaryotic large subunit ribosomal RNA", at positions 835 to 1266 of the family's 3401-position model. The record is from RNAcentral. Lineage: Eukaryota; Metazoa; Arthropoda; Arachnida; Mesostigmata; Varroidae.